GGGUUUUCUCCUUAGAUCUUGAACUUUGGUGUGGAAUCCUGGCUUUACUUCGGUCACUGAAAAUCAGUCCAGUUGACUUCAGAGAGAUUCAGAAACUGACAUCCGCUGACUGGAUCUGCCUAGGGUGAAGAAGAACACACAACACUUAAAUACAAAGCUUCUUCCUCUAAGUAA
This is a long non-coding RNA of Chiroxiphia lanceolata (lance-tailed manakin), 174 nucleotides long. RefSeq lists it as uncharacterized. The transcript has 2 exons. NCBI's taxonomy places the organism in Eukaryota, Metazoa, Chordata, Aves, Passeriformes, Pipridae. The record is from RefSeq and is a predicted model, not a curated record.